RNAcentral lists this transfer RNA (70 nucleotides) under Agrypnus sp. YD-2019. RNAcentral describes it as "tRNA-Lys". Lineage: Eukaryota; Metazoa; Arthropoda; Insecta; Coleoptera; Elateridae. The record is from RNAcentral.
CAUUAGAUGACUGAAAGUUAGUACUGGUCUCUUAAACCAUUUUAUAGUAGAUUCACGCCUACUUCUAAUG